Molecule: ribosomal RNA, 102 nt
Filed under: Clostridium botulinum
Lineage: Bacteria; Bacillati; Bacillota; Clostridia; Eubacteriales; Clostridiaceae
Description: partial 23S ribosomal RNA
Rfam family: Bacterial large subunit ribosomal RNA
Source: RNAcentral
GGUCAAGCUACAAAGGGCGCAUGGUGAAUGCCUUGGCAUCAGGAGCCGAUGAAGGACGCGAUAAGCUGCGAUAAGCUUCGGGUAGACGCACAUAGUCAGAGA